GAUGAACGCUGGCGGCGUGCCUAAUACAUGCAAGUCGAGCGAACGGACGAGAAGCUUGCUUCUCUGAUGUUAGCGGCGGACGGGUGAGUAACACGUGGAUAACCUACCUAUAAGACUGGGAUAACUUCGGGAAACCGGAGCUAAUACCGGAUAAUAUUUUGAACCGCAUGGUUCAAAAGUGAAAGACGGUCUUGCUGUCACUUAUAGAUGGCUCCGCGGUGCAUUAGCUAGUUGGUAAGGUAACGGCUUACCAAGGCAACGAUGCAUUGCCGACCUGAGAGGGUGAUCGGCCACACUGGAACGGAGACACGGUCCAGACUCCUACGGGAGGCAGCGGUAGGGAAGCUUCCGCGAAGGGCGAAAGCCUGACGGAGCAACGCCGCGUGAGUGAUGAAGGUCUUCGGAUCGUAAAACUCUGUUAUUGGGGAAGAACAUAUGUGUAAGUAACUGUGCACAUCUUGACGGUACCUAAUCAGAAAGCCACGGCUAACUACGUG
This 497-nucleotide ribosomal RNA is filed under the name uncultured bacterium. Its description in RNAcentral is "partial 16S ribosomal RNA". It matches the Rfam family "Bacterial small subunit ribosomal RNA", at positions 28 to 507 of the family's 1533-position model. The record is from RNAcentral.